RNAcentral lists this unclassified non-coding RNA (253 nucleotides) under uncultured Rhodospirillales bacterium. RNAcentral describes it as "contains 16S-23S intergenic spacer region". It matches the Rfam family "Bacterial small subunit ribosomal RNA", at positions 524 to 776 of the family's 1533-position model. The record is from RNAcentral. Lineage: Bacteria; Pseudomonadati; Pseudomonadota; Alphaproteobacteria; Rhodospirillales.
UACGGAGGGGGCUAGCGUUGCUCGGAAUUACUGGGCGGAAAGCGCACGUAGGCGGCCAUGAUAGUCAGAUGUGAAAGGCCUGGGCUUAACCCGGGAACUGCAUUUGAUACUGCAUGGCUAGAGUCCAAGAGAGGGUAGUGGAAUUCCCAGUGUAGAGGUGAAAUUCGUAGAUAUUGGGAAGAACCCCAGUGGCGAAGGCGGCUACCUGGCUUGGUACUGACGCUGAGGCGCGAAAGCGUGGGGAGCGAACAGG